Molecule: ribosomal RNA, 505 nt
Filed under: uncultured bacterium
Lineage: Bacteria
Description: partial 16S ribosomal RNA
Rfam family: Bacterial small subunit ribosomal RNA
Source: RNAcentral
UGGGGAAUAUUGCACAAUGGGCGAAAGCCUGAUGCAGCAACGCCGCGUGCGGGAUGACGGCCUUCGGGUUGUAAACCGCUUUCAGCAGGGACGAAGGUUUUCUGACGGUACCUGCAGAAGAAGCACCGGCUAACUACGUGCCAGCAGCCGCGGUGAUACGUAGGGUGCGAGCGUUGUCCGGAAUUAUUGGGCGUAAAGAGCUUGUAGGCGGUCCGUUGCGUCGGAAGUGAAAACUCAGGGCUUAACCCUGAGCCUGCUUUCGAUACGGGCGGACUUGAGGGAUGUAGGGGAGAACGGAAUUCCUGGUGGAGCGGUGGAAUGCGCAGAUAUCAGGAGGAACACCAGUGGCGAAGGCGGUUCUCUGGACAUUUCCUGACGCUGAGAAGCGAAAGCGUGGGGAGCAAACAGGCUUAGAUACCCUGGUAGUCCACGCCGUAAACGGUGGGCACUAGGUGUGGGACCCAUUCCACGGGUUCCGUGCCGUAGCUAACGCAUUAAGUGCCCC